Molecule: ribosomal RNA, 253 nt
Filed under: uncultured bacterium
Lineage: Bacteria
Description: partial 16S ribosomal RNA
Rfam family: Bacterial small subunit ribosomal RNA
Source: RNAcentral
UACGUAGGGUGCAAGCGUUGUCCGGAAUUAUUGGGCGUAAAGAGCUUGUAGGCGGUUUGUCGCGUCUGCUGUGAAAUCUCAAGGCUCAACCUUGAGCUUGCAGUGGGUACGGGCAGACUAGAGUGUGGUAGGGGAGACUGGAAUUCCUGGUGUAGCGGUGGAAUGCGCAGAUAUCAGGAGGAACACCGAUGGCGAAGGCAGAUCUCUGGGCCGUAACUGACGCUGAGGAGCGAAAGCGUGGGGAGCGAACAGG